UCUUUUAGAUAUUGGGUAGGGGAGCGUUCUGUAAGCCGUUGAAGGUGAAUCGUAAGGUUUGCUGGAGGUAUCAGAAGUGCGAAUGCUGACAUGAGUAACGACAAAGGGGGUGAAAAACCUCCUCGCCGGAAGACCAAGGGUUCCUGUCCAACGUUAAUCGGGGCAGGGUGAGUCGACCCCUAAGGUGAGGCCGAAAGGCGUAAUCGAUGGGAAACGGGUUAAUAUUCCCGUACUUCUGACUAUUGCGAUGGGGGGACGGAGAAGGCUAGGUGGGCCAGGCGACGGUUGUCCUGGUUCAAGUGCGUAGGCUUGAGAGUUAGGUAAAUCCGGCUCUCUCUAAGGCUGAGACACGACGUCGAGCUACUACGGUAGUGAAGUCAUUGAUGCCAUGCUUCCAGGAAAAGCCUCUAAGCUUCAGAUAGUCAGGAAUCGUACCCCAAACCGACACAGGUGGUCGGGUAGAGAAUACCAAGGCGCUUGAGAGAACUCGGGUGAAGGAACUAGGCAAAAUGGUACCGUAACUUCGGGAGAAGGUACGCUCUUGAUGGUGAAGUCCCUCGCGGAUGGAGCUGACGAGAGUCGCAGAUACCAGGUGGCUGCAACUGUUUAUUAAAAACACAGCACUGUGCAAAAUCGCAAGAUGACGUAUACGGUGUGACGCCUGCCCGGUGCCGGAAGGUUAAUUGAUGGGGUUAGCGCAAGCGAAGCUCUUGAUCGAAGCCCCGGUAAACGGCGGCCGUAACUAUAACGGUCCUAAGGUAGCGAAAUUCCUUGUCGGGUAAGUUCCGACCUGCACGAAUGGCGUAAUGAUGGCCACGCUGUCUCCACCCGAGACUCAGUGAAAUUGAAAUCGCUGUGAAGAUGCAGUGUACCCGCGGCUAGACGGAAAGACCCCGUGAACCUUUACUACAGCUUGGCACUGAACAUUGAACCUACAUGUGUAGGAUAGGUGGGAGGCUAUGAAGACGUGACGCCAGUUGCGUUGGAGCCGUCCUUGAAAUACCACCCUUGUAUGUUUGAUGUUCUAACUUAGACCCAUUAUCUGGGUUGAGGACAGUGCCUGGUGGGUAGUUUGACUGGGGCGGUCUCCUCCCAAAGAGUAACGGAGGAGCACGAAGGUGGGCUAAUCACGGUUGGACAUCGUGAGGUUAGUGCAAUGGCAUAAGCCCGCUUAACUGCGAGAAUGACGGUUCGAGCAGGUGCGAAAGCAGGUCAUAGUGAUCCGGUGGUUCUGUAUGGAAGGGCCAUCGCUCAACGGAUAAAAGGUACUCCGGGGAUAACAGGCUGAUACCGCCCAAGAGUUCAUAUCGACGGCGGUGUUUGGCACCUCGAUGUCGGCUCAUCACAUCCUGGGGCUGAAGUCGGUCCCAAGGGUAUGGCUGUUCGCCAUUUAAAGUGGUACGCGAGCUGGGUUUAGAACGUCGUGAGACAGUUCGGUCCCUAUCUGCCGUGGGCGUUGGAAGAUUGAAGGGGGCUGCUCCUAGUACGAGAGGACCGGAGUGGACGAACCUCUGGUGUUCGGGUUGUGUCGCCAGACGCAUUGCCCGGUAGCUAAGUUCGGAAUUGAUAAGCGCUGAAAGCAUCUAAGCGCGAAGCGAGCCCUGAGAUGAGUCUUCCCUGACAGUUUAACUGUCCUAAAGGGUUGUUCGAGACUAGAACGUUGAUAGGCAGGGUGUGUAAGCGUUGUGAGGCGUUGAGCUAACCUGUACUAAUUGCCCGUGAGGCUUAACCAUACAACACCCAAGGGGUUUUGUA
This 1755-nucleotide ribosomal RNA is filed under the name Vibrio cholerae. RNAcentral describes it as "partial 23S ribosomal RNA". It matches the Rfam family "Bacterial large subunit ribosomal RNA", at positions 1213 to 2925 of the family's 2925-position model. Lineage: Bacteria; Pseudomonadati; Pseudomonadota; Gammaproteobacteria; Vibrionales; Vibrionaceae. The record is from RNAcentral. RNAcentral also lists the same sequence under 1 other name.